CUACGGGGUGCUGCAGUGGGGAAUAUUGGACAAUGGGGGAAACCCUGAUCCAGCAAUGCCGCGUGUGUGAAGAAGGCCUGCGGGUUGUAAAGCACUUUCGGUUGGGAGGACUGCUUCUAGCACUAAUAUUGUUGGAAGUUGACGUUACCUUCAGAAGAAGCACCGGCUAACUCCGUGCCAGCAGCCGCGGUAAUACGGAGGUGCAAGCGUUAAUCGGAAUUACUGGGCGUAAAGCGCGCGUAGGCGGCUAGAUCAGUCGGGUGUGAAAGCCCCGGGCUUAACCUGGGAACUGCAUCCGAACUGUCUAGCUUGAGUACAGGAGAGGAGAGUGGAAUUCCACAUGUAGCGGUGAAAUGCGUAGAUAUGUGGAGGAACACCAAUGGCGAAGGCAGCUCUCUGGCCUGAUACUGACGCUGAGGUGCGAAAGCGUGGGGAGCAAACAGGAUUAGAUACCCUCGUAGUC
This 463-nucleotide ribosomal RNA is filed under the name uncultured bacterium. Its description in RNAcentral is "partial 16S ribosomal RNA". It matches the Rfam family "Bacterial small subunit ribosomal RNA", at positions 339 to 795 of the family's 1533-position model. The record is from RNAcentral.